This is an unclassified non-coding RNA of Cavia porcellus (domestic guinea pig), 96 nucleotides long. It matches the Rfam family "Y RNA". Rfam says of the family: Y RNAs are components of the Ro ribonucleoprotein particle (Ro RNP), in association with Ro60 and La proteins. The record is from Ensembl. NCBI's taxonomy places the organism in Eukaryota, Metazoa, Chordata, Mammalia, Rodentia, Caviidae.
GGCUGGUCCGAUGGCAGUGGAUUAUCCGAACUUAUUAACAUUAGUGUCACUAAAGUUGGUAUACCACCCCCCACUGCUAAAUUUGACUGGCUUAAA